GUUAAUCGGAAUUACUGGGCGUAAAGCGUGCGCGGGCGGUAAUGCAAGACAGAUGUGAAAUCCCCGGGCUCAACCUGGGAACUGCAUUUGUGACUGCAUUGCUGGAGUGCGGCAGAGGGGGAUGGAAUUCCGCGUGUAGCAGUGAAAUGCGUAGAUAUGCGGAGGAACACCGAUGGCGAAGGCAAUCCCCUGGGCCUGCACUGACGCUCAUGCACGAAAGCGUGGGGAGCAAACGGG
RNAcentral lists this ribosomal RNA (237 nucleotides) under uncultured bacterium. RNAcentral describes it as "partial 16S ribosomal RNA". It matches the Rfam family "Bacterial small subunit ribosomal RNA", at positions 540 to 776 of the family's 1533-position model. The record is from RNAcentral.